This 429-nucleotide ribosomal RNA is filed under the name Chloroflexota bacterium. Its description in RNAcentral is "Chloroflexi bacterium partial 16S ribosomal RNA". It matches the Rfam family "Bacterial small subunit ribosomal RNA", at positions 355 to 776 of the family's 1533-position model. Lineage: Bacteria; Bacillati; Chloroflexota. The record is from RNAcentral.
UGGGGAAUAUUGCACAAUGGGCGCAAGCCUGAUGCAGCCAUGCCGCGUGUAUGAAGAAGGCCUUCGGGUUGUAAAGUACUUUCAGCGGGGAGGAAGGGAGUAAAGUUAAUACCUUUGCUCAUUGACGUUACCCGCAGAAGAAGCACCGGCUAACUCCGUGCCAGCAGCCGCGGUAAUACGGAGGAUGCAAGCGUUAAUCGGAAUUACUGGGCGUAAAGUGCACGCAGGCGGUUUGUUAAGUCAGAUGUGAAAUCCCCGGGCUCAACCUGGGAACUGCAUCUGAUACUGGCAAGCUUGAGUCUCGUAGAGGGGGGUAGAAUUCCAGGUGUAGCGGUGAAAUGCGUAGAGAUCUGGAGGAAUACCGGUGGCGAAGGCGGCCCCCUGGACGAAGACUGACGCUCAGGUGCGAAAGCGUGGGGAGCAAACAGG